Molecule: ribosomal RNA, 253 nt
Filed under: uncultured bacterium
Lineage: Bacteria
Description: partial 16S ribosomal RNA
Rfam family: Bacterial small subunit ribosomal RNA
Source: RNAcentral
UACGGGGGGGGCAAGCGUUGUUCGGAAUUACUGGGCGUAAAGGGCGCGUAGGCGGCCUGCUAAGUCGAUCGUGAAAUCCCCGGGCUUAACCCGGGAACUGCGACCGAUACUGGUUGGCUUGAAUUCGGGAGAGGGAUGCGGAAUUCCAGGUGUAGCGGUGAAAUGCGUAGAUAUCUGGAGGAACACCGGUGGCGAAGGCGGCAUCCUGGACCGGCAUUGACGCUGAGGCGCGAAAGCCAGGGGAGCAAACGGG